Molecule: ribosomal RNA, 305 nt
Filed under: uncultured bacterium
Lineage: Bacteria
Description: bacterial SSU rRNA
Rfam family: Bacterial small subunit ribosomal RNA
Source: RNAcentral
GGGAUCCUACGGGAGGCAGCAGUGAGGAAUAUUGGUCAAUGGUCGGGAGACUGAACCAGCCAAGCCGCGUGAGGGAUGAAGGUACAGAGUAUCGUAAACCUCUUUUGUCAGGGAACAAAGGCGGGGACGUGUCCCCGGAUGAGUGUACCUGAAGAAAAAGCAUCGGCUAACUCCGUGCCAGCAGCCGCGGUAAUACGGAGGAUGCGAGCGUUAUCCGGAUUUAUUGGGUUUAAAGGGUGCGCAGGCGGUCUGUUAAGGCAGCGGUCAAAGCCCGGGGUUCAACCCCGGCCCGCGGUUGAACCUGG